Molecule: long non-coding RNA, 1548 nt
Filed under: Phoenix dactylifera (date palm)
Lineage: Eukaryota; Viridiplantae; Streptophyta; Magnoliopsida; Arecales; Arecaceae
Description: long non-coding RNA (PDAC_LNC005488)
Source: RNAcentral
AUCCCCUCUAGUGGGGACCCUCUCUCCCUAUUUUCUCUCACGCUGGUCCAGCAGUCUAGCUUCCUUCAACCACCAUCCCCAUCCUCAGAGCUUCAUCGACCCCCUUCUACUACUCAAGGUUUGCUUCCUUAUCCUCUCAUCCCCUUUGCGCAUCCCUCUUCUCCUCCAUGCCUCUCUUCUUAUCCUUCUCUCGCCCUCUGGCUCUCCCUCCUCUCCUCCGGCCAAGCCUCUGUAGUACUUCUCCUUCCUUCCUCUAGGCCUAAAACCUUAAACCAAUUUCUACCUAAAUCUUGACCGCUCCCUUAUCCCUCUUCACCAAUCUCUAUGAUUUGGAGCUCAUCCAUGGCUGUCGAGUCCAUCUCUCGCUUGAUCCACUCAAGAUCGAACCCUAACACUAAUACCCAAUUUCAACCUAAACCCUAUCUUGAUUUCUACCAUUCUACGACCUAUUUGUCUUUGAUUUCUUCCUGUCUUUAUAGUUUUAUGCACCCAUUGGUGGCAACAUGCUUGAUCUGCAAUGGAUCAAGCAUGUACUGGCAUCUGUGGACCUAUAUGCUUAAUCUAUCCCAGAUUAGGCGGUUAGAGAUAUCUAUGUUGGCUGCAUGCUUGAUCCUGAAAUGAUGAUGGUGUUCACUGGUGCUUAUGGAACCUAUGUCCAUCUUGGUAUGUAGUGGUAUCAUUGGGUGCAAUAGUGGUGUGAGUUUAUUUCUUACCCUUUAAAAUGAUGGUGCUAAUGGUUUAGGAUGGGAUCUUCUGCAAUGGAGACGGGUGUUUGUUGUUGCAUUGAUAAUAUGUUGCCAUGAUUGUUGUGUAGAUAAACUUUGUAGCUGUCUACCAGUCAUUACUGAUACAUACAUCAGAAUAUUAUUGCCAUGAUUACUGACUAUAUGCAUUAGCAUUGAUUACAUUAACUUGUGCAGUUACAAAAUUAUGAUUGACUUGUCUAAUGCUUCAUUCUUUCAUUAGUGUAUCUGUUCCUUUAGUGGUACCUAUGGUAGUGGCCACAAUUAUGGUCAUUGUGCUGAUAGUUGUCUUCCUUGUUAUCCUAUUUUAAAUAGAGUCCUUGCAUUAUGAUACCGUUAUCAUUUGUUAUUUUGUCUAUCUGGCAGGUUAAUGUGACUUCCAUGGGUAUUCUACUGAUUAUGGCACACAUGUUAUGCCACUUGACUCUAAUUUUGCCAUGGAUGAUUCCUUGGCAAUUCUGUCCUAUAUACAAAUAACUUACCUUACUUUCUCGUAUUUAUUGCUGCUAUUAAUUUUGAUGUUGAGUUAUAUGUGGAUGGUUGAUUAGCAUAGGUGUUUUUGAGCCAUUUACUGAUCAUUUUGUUGUAGAGCUAUAUGUGACUGGUUGACCAUCGCAAGUAUUGUUGAGCUAUAUAAUUUUGUUGUUGAGCUAUUUCUCUCUUUUGGAACAUGUGAAUUGUAAUAUUGCAAUUUUGUUCUCCCAUGUAUCUUUUUCAAUUUCUCUCUUAGCCAUUUUUUCUUGCAACAACCCAUGCAUCUUCUUAAUUUUCCUAUAGCUCAUUUUCGUUUUCUUUUUAUUUUCAG